RNAcentral lists this ribosomal RNA (506 nucleotides) under uncultured bacterium. RNAcentral describes it as "partial 16S ribosomal RNA". It matches the Rfam family "Bacterial small subunit ribosomal RNA", at positions 28 to 523 of the family's 1533-position model. The record is from RNAcentral.
GAUGAACGCUAGCUACAGGCUUAACACAUGCAAGUCGAGGGGCAGCAUGGUCUUAGCUUGCUAAGGCCGAUGGCGACCGGCGCACGGGUGAGUAACACGUAUCCAACCUGCCGUCUACUCUUGGACAGCCAUCUGAAAGGAAGAUUAAUACAAGAUGGCAUCAUGAGUCCGCAUGUUCACAUGAUUAAAGGUAUUCCGGUAGACGAUGGGGAUGCGUUCCAUUAGGUAGUAGGCGGGGUAACGGCCCACCUAGUCUUCGAUGGAUAGGGGUUCUGAGAGGAAGGUCCCCCACAUUGGAACUGAGACACGGUCCAAACUCCUACGGGAGGCAGCAGUGAGGAAUAUUGGUCAAUGGACGAGAGUCUGAACCAGCCAAGUAGCGUGCAGGAUGACGGCCCUAUGGGUUGUAAACUGCUUUUAUAAGGGAAUAAAGUGAGUCUCGUGAGACUUUUUGCAUGUACCUUAUGAAUAAGGACCGGCUAAUUCCGUGCCAGCCGCCGCCGUAA